This is a non-coding RNA of Alligator sinensis (Chinese alligator), 612 nucleotides long. NCBI's taxonomy places the organism in Eukaryota, Metazoa, Chordata, Crocodylia, Alligatoridae. The record is from the annotation of a RefSeq genome assembly.
AGCCAGCCUCCUCUCCUAGGCACAACAGGCACGUUGAAUGGACAAAACCUGCACAUUACUGUCUGGCUUGGUAGCAAAGGAUAAAAAAAAAUGAGGUGUUUCUUAACCUGCCUUUGCUUCAUGGCAGUGUGCCUAGGGGUGCAGUCGGCAGUGGAGCUGGUCCAGUCUGGUGCCGUGGUGAAGAAGCCUGGGGAGACUGUGAAGAUCUCCUGUAAAACCUCCGGGUUCACACUCACUGAUUACUACAUGGGCUGGGUGCAGCAGGCUCCAGGGAAAGGCCUGGUGUGGGUUGGACGUAUUGACCCUGAAGAUGGUAGUACCAGCUAUGCAGAAACACUGAAAGGCAGAGUGUCCAUCACCACCGACAACUCCAUCAGCACCGUGUACCUGCAACUCAGCCGCCUGUCGCCUGCAGACACUGCCGUGUAUUACUGUGCUAGACACACAGUGGGCAGGAUGCCAUUCACAGCCGUCUAUGUCUACACCAUGGAAGGGGUUUAUACAAGUGAAAAACUGAAAGGGCCACAAAUGACACUGAUUUUGGAGAAAUCGGACUUGAUUCCAAAACGUAAAUGGCAAUUGGUUUCUGCCAGUAUGCCCCGAGGUCUCUGA